CCCUUAGAUGUUCUGGGCUGCACGCGCGCUACACUGAAGCUAUCAACACGUUUUCCCUCCCUGAGGAGGGCGGGUAACCUUUUGAAUCAGCUUCGUGGUAGGGAUCGGGACUUGCAAUUGUUCCCCGUGAACCAGGAAUUCCCAGUAGACGCGAGUCAUAAGCUCGCAUCGAUUAAGUCCCUGCCCUUUGUACACACCGCCCGUCGCUACUACCGAUUGAACGUUUUAGUGAGGCAUUUGGACCGACGCAUCUCAGUUUAACCGCUGGUUUGUGUUGGAAAGACUUCCAAACUUGAGCGUUUAGAGGAAGUAAAAGUCGUAACA
This 324-nucleotide ribosomal RNA is filed under the name uncultured eukaryote. RNAcentral describes it as "partial 18S ribosomal RNA". It matches the Rfam family "Eukaryotic small subunit ribosomal RNA", at positions 1470 to 1796 of the family's 1831-position model. The record is from RNAcentral.